RNAcentral lists this ribosomal RNA (100 nucleotides) under Petromyzon marinus (sea lamprey). The record is from RNAcentral. Lineage: Eukaryota; Metazoa; Chordata; Hyperoartia; Petromyzontiformes; Petromyzontidae.
CUGCCCAGAAUGCACCUGAUCUUGUCAGAUCACUAGAUGCUAAGCAGGGUUGAGUCUGGAUAGUGCUUGGAUGGGUGACCACGAUUUGCAAACUGCAAGU